This is a non-coding RNA of Paramormyrops kingsleyae, 913 nucleotides long. The record is from RefSeq and is a predicted model, not a curated record. NCBI's taxonomy places the organism in Eukaryota, Metazoa, Chordata, Actinopteri, Osteoglossiformes, Mormyridae.
CAAUCAACAAGGAACAUACCCAGGGGUAACGAGGGAAGAGGAUCUCCUUCUCCUCCAUCUCAGAAUGGGCCUGUCCGUUCUCCUCCAGCGGCUCCCCGGCAGAGCCCACGGUGCGGAGCUCAGCAGAUGUUUAUUGCGGUACUGGAGCCUGUCACAGGCACUUAGGGCGAUUUCUUGAUCUGCCCCUGUACGGUGGAGCUGCGGGCACACGGCACGCCGAGCCGCACUUCACUAAACGUUUUGCCGCUCUGCGAAUCUGAGUCUGCGGUUUAGGGACUGCAGCGAAGCCUGUGCACUUUGCUGUCAGGCGGCCGUUUCCCCGGAGUCGUCACCGCGCCGCUGAACAGCGUGCCGGUGGUGCCAAAGCCAGCCGGAUCCUGUUCCAGCCAACGAGUCGGCCCCCGUAUCGAUCCGGCCGUGCUGUUAGCUGCUUGCAGGCCUGCCUGCUUUCCUUGUCUCGCUCUGCAGACCCCAGCAUCGGCACCCACCCAUGGACACCCACGCUGGCCUUGUUGUAUUUGUGGACCGCGGGAGGAAGACAACCCGCGUAAACACAGGGAUAAGCGAAAUCUGCCAUCCCAGAGUCUGCAGCGACAGGUUUUCCCCUUCAUAAGAUUAACAUCAAGUCCUUGAAGAUUGGCCACGUAAGGAUAUCCUGAGUUCCCAGGCCAGUUUUCGGAGGCGGUCAGGAUGCCCUAUCGCAGUAGCGACCUGACGCCCAGAAGCGUCCUACCUACACGAACGUUCAGUUUAAAGGAAUGCUUUUCGUAGGUGGGCUGACCCACCAUCUGUUUACUAAAACAGAGACUCACAGAGACAGUGAAAUCAGUCAAGGUUACUGUCUGAAAUCAGGAGAGACGUAUUAUUACACUGAGAGAGGGAUGACUAGACUGUGGCUUGUUCAGCUUUUUGA